Molecule: long non-coding RNA, 2776 nt
Organism: Lycium barbarum (goji berry)
Lineage: Eukaryota; Viridiplantae; Streptophyta; Magnoliopsida; Solanales; Solanaceae
Exons: 4
Source: RefSeq, a predicted model, not a curated record
GUAUUCUUGGUGAAUUGGAUAAUGGCAAAUUACAUUUGUGAAAUAAUAAUUAGUUGAUAGAAUCCAUGUCUUGACUUUGAGAUUGAUGAUACCCCUUUAUGGAUGCUUAUAAGUCUCAUGUGAAAACCCUGCAGGUGGAUUUUGUAUCCGUCACAUGAUGUAAGUUAAGCAGAAAUAUAAAGGAUUCAAUUAGCCAAUGAAUUAAAUUGUCAGCAAUUUAAUUUAAUUGAUUGGUAUCUGUAAUCUUAACAUGGGGAGUUAAAUAAGUUUUAAUGUAUGAUUUUGAAAUUGAACUGAGGAGUGCAGUUACGAUUUUUUAGUGGAAUAAUUCGUAAUUUAUUAUGGUAUGAUUAAUUCAGAUUUCUUGAAUUAAUUCCAUAAUAGGAAGCCUCGAUAAUUAAAUUUUGUGGUCCCUGCUGUGCCCGAAUAAUAAAGAAUUAUAUGGAAUAUUAUUUCUAGGUGGAAAAUAAAGACCCAAUAGGUUUUGGAAAAGGGGAAAACCCUAAACCUGUAGUUAUAAAAUAAGGGUCUUAUUCCAUAAGAAGGCUAAGGGUUUUACAAGUUUCUACUCUUUUUCCAUAGAAAUUUGCCCACACGAAUUUCACAAAUUCUGGUAUUAUUUGGGUUACACAGCAGAAGACUGUGGAACUGAAGGAUGACGAUCAACUGGAUGGUGUGUGCUCGUGGUUGAAGAUUCGAUUCUUGGUCGCGGUCACGCUUCAAGAGAUAAGUAUCAAUUUUAUGUUUGAUUAAUAUCUUGAUUAUGUGUUGUCUACAUUACAUGCAAGUUCGAUCCUGGCUAUCUGUAUAGGUUAAAAACCGGAUGCGAGGCAAACCGGUAAAGCGAGGGGACUGACUGAUCUGCCUUCUUCGUCAUUGGAACGACCAAGCCCGGUGACCCGAGCAUUCGUGGCCGUUGGUCCGAAUUGAUCGUGGUCGUUGGUCCGUUUGACCGGGGCCGUUGGUCCGAAUUGAUCGUGUCCGCUGGUUCGUUUGAUCAUAGCCGUUGGUCCGAAUUGAUCGUGGCCGCUGGUCCGUUUGAUCAUAGCCGUUAGUCCGUUUGAUCGUGGCCGUUAGUCCGGGAAAUCGUGGCCGUUAGUUCGGGAAAUCGUGGCCGUUAGUCCGGGAAAUCGUGGCCGUUAGUCUGGGAGAUCCUGGCCGUUGGUCCGUUUUGGUCAUGGCCGUUGAUCCGGGAGAUCCGUUACGCGGUUGCCACGCGUCGAUAGCAUCCUGCCAUGGUCAACCACCAACCAUGUGUGCGUCAGAUCGUACGGCCAACCUAAUCCCACCAAAUCUGCUCAGAGUUGUCCUUUUUAUUAUUAUUCUAAUCAUUUGUAUGGGAAGAGGCCCAUAGAGGCAUCACUAUAAAUAGAGCACAUCCCCCUCCUUUGUAAGGGUUAGCUCCUUUACUUUCCAAGAAUAUUUAUAAUAAAAGAGCUCAUAUACACAAUCUCUCUCCCUCAAUAUCUGAUCCGGCCAAGGCCAUUUGUUUCCAUUUAUAUUGUGCUUCUUCCAUUAAGUAUUGAACAUAGCUUCUAAAUGUUCAUGUCCAUAGCAAAUCGAGCAAAUUAUCGUUAUUAGCCGUUUUAUUACUAAAUACUCACACGCUUAUUUUCCACUAUCAAACAUAUAUCAAGAUCCAAGCACAUAUCCUAUACCCAUCCACAAAUUUAAUUGAUUAUCCGAAUCCGGGGUAAACAGCUAUUUGCUUCCGCUGUUUAUGCCUGAUUUCCAUCAAAUACGGUAUCUUAUACUUGUUCUAUAUUCUCUCCAUGCAUGUAAGUUUAAAGCUUCGGCACCACAAUGUUGCUGUGCAAGUUUUGAUUGGGUUAGAACGUGACUUCCACGUUCUUAUUGGUUUCAUGCAAUCAAAAACUUGAUAUUUUCAUGGUUACAAUGGAUUUGCUCUAUCUUUAGCUUAAAUAUGUCUGGUGAAAUAUGAUAGGUAGAUUGUUCCACCUAGCUUGUAGUUAUUUUUGCCUUUUUGCAGUUAGAAGUGUGUCACAGAAAAUAUUCCUGCUAAUAUGGAAGCAAUUGUUUCUGACAAGCAGCAAGAACUAAUUGAAGCGGCCUUUGAGGUUUAUGAUGAGCUUGCCGUAGCAUUUCUGAAUUUAGCUUCCGUUUGGUAAAUGAAUGUGGAGAGAUAUCUUGUAGAAUCAGUGAGAAAUAAUAUUUGUACAUGGUGAAAGUGAUCAAAAGAUAAGUUCCUAUCCUAUCAUCCUAAAUGAUUUUUUUUUAAGACAUGGAGUUGUUGUGGAAAGGUCUUGCCAACGAGAUCCAAUUGGAGGAAGUAUAUGAUAUGCAGAAGUAGAAAAGGCUGCAGAUGCUUUAUCUUUAAUUUGGCUGUGCCUUUCUGCAGAUACAUUGCCUAUUUACAAGUAUUACAAGACGAACAUGAAUUACCAUAUGUGGGCUUACCGUUACAGGACUUGGCCUUGAUCAUGUAGCAGACAACUUUGUUGAAGAUGAAGAGAACUGAGGAAUUUCAGGUGGUGAAAGAAAAAGGGUGUCAAUAGGAGUUGACUUGAUCCUCGAUCCCCCUAUAUUACUCUUAGAUGAGACAACUUCAGGACUAGACAACAGUUUAGCACUUGGAAGUGAUUGAAUUGCUCUCAUCCACAACAAAAACAAAACUGAGAACCAUAAUUUUGUCAAUCCAUCCGCUUAGCUAUAGAAUUCUUCAAUAUAUUUCUAAAUUCGAAAAUAAAAAUUUAGGGAAUUCUUUGUGAUAGCAAUAUGUAUGAACUCUUAAAUUACCAAAAUGUAAACUUACAAA